This 259-nucleotide long non-coding RNA is filed under the name Lathyrus oleraceus (garden pea). RNAcentral describes it as "Pisum sativum (pea) long non-coding RNA (PSAT_LNC022601)". The record is from RNAcentral. Lineage: Eukaryota; Viridiplantae; Streptophyta; Magnoliopsida; Fabales; Fabaceae.
ACUUGUCAUGGGGCAGUUGUACCCAGUGAAUGAAGCGUGUUGUUAACCGAGAAGUGCGACCUCGUGGGUAGCAGGGAAGAGAUAUGGUGUUGAAAAGGAUCCUUCCUCCUCAAGACGACCGUGGGGCAAGUGAAUACAGUUAUGAAUAUCCAUUCGUGGUCAAAAAAGGUCUCCUCUGACAGAGCCUUGUUGCUGACGACCAUGGAUGACGAGGAUUUUCCAUCCCUUGUGAAUGCGGACGCAGUUAAAAGAUACUUCG